AGCGAACGCUGGCGGCAGGCCUAACACAUGCAAGUCGAACGAUCCUUCGGGAUAGUGGCGGACGGGUGAGUAACACGUGGGAAUAUGCCUUUUGGUUUGGGAUAACUGAGGGAAACUUCAGCUAAUACCGGAUAAGCCCUAUGGGGAAGAUUUAUCGCCGAAAGAGUAGCCCGCGUUGGAUUAGCUAGUUGGUGGGGUAAUGGCCGACCAAGGCUACGAUCCAUAGCUGGUCUGAGAGGAUGAUCAGCCACACUGGGACUGAGACACGGCCCAGACUCCUACGGGAGGCAGCAGUGGGGAAUCUUGCGCAAUGGGCGAAAGCCUGACGCAGCCAUGCCGCGUGAAUGAUGAA
RNAcentral lists this ribosomal RNA (352 nucleotides) under uncultured bacterium. Its description in RNAcentral is "bacterial SSU rRNA". It matches the Rfam family "Bacterial small subunit ribosomal RNA", at positions 29 to 412 of the family's 1533-position model. The record is from RNAcentral.